GUACGGUCGCAAGACUAAAACUCAAAUGAAUUGACGGGGGCCCGCACAAGCGGUGGAGCAUGUGGUUUAAUUCGAUGCAACGCGAAGAACCUUACCUGGCCUUGACAUACUAGAAACUUUCCAGAGAUGGAUUGGUGCCUUCGGGAAUCUAGAUACAGGUGCUGCAUGGCUGUCGUCAGCUCGUGUCGUGAGAUGUUGGGUUAAGUCCCGCAACGAGCGCAACCCUUUUCCUUACUUGCCAGCAUUUCGGAUGGGAACUUUAAGGAUACUGCCAGUGACAAACUGGAGGAAGGCGGGGACGACGUCAAGUCAUCAUGGCCCUUACGGCCAGGGCUACACACGUGCUACAAUGGUCGGUACAAAGGGUUGCUACACAGCGA
RNAcentral lists this ribosomal RNA (380 nucleotides) under uncultured bacterium. RNAcentral describes it as "bacterial SSU rRNA". It matches the Rfam family "Bacterial small subunit ribosomal RNA", at positions 880 to 1260 of the family's 1533-position model. The record is from RNAcentral.